CGGCCGCCGGGCGCACCCGUCCCGUUCGUCCCCGGUCGUUGCUCUCCACCCCGGGAACGUCGAGACCGGAGCGCCCGAACGG
MicroRNA precursor from Dipodomys ordii (Ord's kangaroo rat), 82 nucleotides. The record is from Ensembl. NCBI's taxonomy places the organism in Eukaryota, Metazoa, Chordata, Mammalia, Rodentia, Heteromyidae.